AUUGCCCUAGUAACGGCGAGUGAAGCGGCAACAGCUCAAAUUUGAAAUCUGGCCUUCGGGUCCGAGUUGUAAUUUGUAGAGGAUGCUUUUGGUGAGGUACCUUCCGAGUUCCCUGGAACGGGACGCCAUAGAGGGUGAGAGCCCCGUCUGGUUGGAUACCGAUCCUCUGUAAAGCUCCUUCGACGAGUCGAGUAGUUUGGGAAUGCUGCUCUAAAUGGGAGGUAUAUGUCUUCUAAAGCUAAAUAUUGGCCAGAGACCGAUAGCGCACAAGUAGAGUGAUCGAAAGAUGAAAAGCACUUUGAAAAGAGAGUUAAAAAGUACGUGAAAUUGUUGAAAGGGAAGCGCUCAUGACCAGACUUGGGCUUGGUUGAUCAUCCAGGGUUCUCCCUGGUGCACUCUUCCAGCUCAGGCCAGCAUCAGUUCGCUGUGGGGGAUAAAGGCUUCGGGAAUGUGGCUCCUCCGGGAGUGUUAUAGCCCGCUGCGUAAUACCCUGUGGCGGACUGAGGUUCGCGCAUCUGCAAGGAUGCUGGCGUAAUGGUCAUCAGCGACCCGUCUUGAAACACGGACCAAGGAGUCGUCUUCGUAUGCGAGUGUUCGGGUGUUAAACCCCUACGCGUAAUGAAAGUGAACGCAGGUGAGAGCUUCGGCGCAUCAUCGACCGAUCCUGAUGUUCUCGGAUGGAUUUGAGUAAGAGCAUACGGGGCCGGACCCGAAAGAAGGUGAACUAUGCCUGUAUAGGGUGAAGCCAGAGGAAACUCUGGUGGAGGCUCGCAGCGGUUCUGACGUGCAAAUCGAUCGUCAAAUAUGGGCAUGGGGGCGAAAGACUAAU
RNAcentral lists this ribosomal RNA (829 nucleotides) under Ilyonectria capensis. RNAcentral describes it as "eukaryotic LSU rRNA". It matches the Rfam family "Eukaryotic large subunit ribosomal RNA", at positions 74 to 935 of the family's 3401-position model. Lineage: Eukaryota; Fungi; Ascomycota; Sordariomycetes; Hypocreales; Nectriaceae. The record is from RNAcentral.